CACGAAGUUAGCCGGGGCUUCUUCUCCGGAUACCGUCAUUAUCUUCUCCGGUGAAAGAGCUUUACAACCCUAAGGCCCUCAUCACUCACGCGGCAUGGCUGGAUCAGGCUUGCGCCCAUUGUCCAAUAUUCCCCACUGCUGCCUCCCGUAGGAGUUUGGGCCGUGUCUCAGUCCCAAUGUGGCUGAUCAUCCUCUCAGACCAGCUAUGGAUCGUCGCCUUGGUAGGCCUUUACCCCACCAACUAGCUAAUCCAACGCGGGCUCAUCUCUUGCCGAUAAAUCUUUCCCCCUAAGGGCACAUACGGUAUUAAUUCCAGUUUCCCGGAGCUAUUCCGUAGCAAAAGGUAGAUUCCCACGCGUUACUCACCCGUCUGCCGCUCACCCCGAAGGAUGCGCUCGACUUGCAUGUGUUAAGCCUGCCGCCAGCGUUCGUUCUGAGCCAGGAUCAAACUCU
This 453-nucleotide ribosomal RNA is filed under the name uncultured Rhizobium sp. RNAcentral describes it as "partial 16S ribosomal RNA". The record is from RNAcentral. Lineage: Bacteria; Pseudomonadati; Pseudomonadota; Alphaproteobacteria; Hyphomicrobiales; Rhizobiaceae.